This 800-nucleotide ribosomal RNA is filed under the name uncultured bacterium. RNAcentral's name for it is "bacterial SSU rRNA". It matches the Rfam family "Bacterial small subunit ribosomal RNA", at positions 97 to 899 of the family's 1533-position model. The record is from RNAcentral.
GGCGCACGGGUGCGUAACACGUAUGCAACCUACCUAUAUCUGGGGCAUAGCCCGAAGAAAUUCGGAUUAAUUCCCCAUAACACAUAAGAGUCGCAUGAUUUUAAUGUUAAAGUUCCGGCAGAUAUAGAUGGGCAUGCGGCCCAUUAGCUAGUUGGUGAGGUAAUGGCUCACCAAGGCCACGAUGGGUAGGGGUUCUGAGAGGAUGAUCCCCCACACUGGUACUGAGACACGGACCAGACUCCUAUGGGAGGCAGCAGUAGGGAAUAUUGGUCAAUGGACGAAAGUCUGAACCAGCCAUGCCGCGUGCAGGAUGAAUGCCCUAUGGGUUGUAAACUGCUUUUGUACGGGAAGAAACACCUCUACGUGUAAGGCUUGACAGUACCGUAAGAAUAAGGACCGGCUAACUCCGUGCCAGCAGCCGCGGUAAUACGGAGGGUCCAAGCGUUGUCCGGAUUUAUUGGGUUUAAAGGGUACGUAGGCGGGAUAUUAAGUCAGUGGUGAAAGCCUCCAGCUCAACUGGAGAACUGCCAUUGAAACUGAUAUUCUUGAGUGUGGAUGAGGUGGUUGGAAUAUAACAUGUAGCGGUGAAAUGCUUAGAUAUGUUAUGGAACACCAAUUGCGAAGGCAGAUCACCAAACCACUACUGACGCUGAGGUACGAAAGCGUGGGGAGCGAACAGGAUUAGAUACCCUGGUAGUCCACGCCGUAAACGAUGUUCACUCGCUGUUGGCGAUAUACUGUCAGCGGCCAAGCGAAAGCAUUAAGUGAACCACCUGGGGAGUACGAUCGCAAGGUUGAAA